UACGUAGGGUCCAAGCGUUAUCCGGAAUCACUGGGCGUAAAGCGUGCGUAGGUGGAUUGUUAAGUGCGAUGCGAAAUCCUGUGGCUCAACCAUAUGGACUGUAUCGCAUACUGGCAAUCUUGAGGACAUGAGAGGCAAGUGGAAUUACUGGUGUAGCAGUGAAAUGCGUAGAGAUCAGUAGGAACACCAAUGGCGAAGGCAGCUUGCUGGCAUGUAUCUGACGCUAAGGCACGAAAGCGUGGGGAGCGAACAGG
RNAcentral lists this ribosomal RNA (254 nucleotides) under uncultured bacterium. Its description in RNAcentral is "partial 16S ribosomal RNA". It matches the Rfam family "Bacterial small subunit ribosomal RNA", at positions 524 to 776 of the family's 1533-position model. RNAcentral also lists the same sequence under 1 other name. The record is from RNAcentral.